This 204-nucleotide long non-coding RNA is filed under the name Bos taurus (domestic cattle). RNAcentral describes it as "long non-coding RNA NONBTAT005613". The record is from RNAcentral. Lineage: Eukaryota; Metazoa; Chordata; Mammalia; Artiodactyla; Bovidae.
GAGAGAAUGGUUUCUCUGAAAACAGGGUAUCCCUGUAAAGCCUCCUCAGAGAGGUUUAACCCAGCAGUUGUUAGGUGGUUUAGCUAAAAUUUCUUAAGCAAAUACUGAACCAAACUGAGCAUAAAUAUUGUGAUAAUUAACUAUUCCUUUUUCCCCCAGAUGUGUAAACGGAGUAGUUUAGUUUUUCUUUCUCUUUUAGUCAUG